GAGUUGCAAAAGCUGUCUGAUGUUUGAAGUGUAUUGACGCACUGCAUUUGGUUUGAGACGAUUUGCAAGUUACCCAGAACUAUUGUUUGGCUGUCGAGUCGCUUUUCUGAAGAUUUCACGUCGAUCUUUAGAUCUAGUGUCUUUGUCUUCCAGAGAUCCAUUCGUUCCUGAGCUGAAGGAGAAGAGUCCUGCCCUCUCGAUCUCUUUGUCUUUGCCGCCGCCAUGGGGAAUUCUUCGUCUCUUUUCACCGCUGAAUCGCUACUUCGUCUAGGUGAGCGUCUUGACUUGGAGGAAGGCCAGUUCUAUGGCCUGGAAGGAGAGUACAUGUUCUGUGGAUUAGAGGCGUUCCACCAGAGGACGGAGAGACACGUUGGGCCGGCAAGAGAGGACGAGUCACUGGAGAGCCUGUCAUGAAGCCGGAAGACGUGGUCACUCAGCAGACCUAAAAUCAAGACUGGCCUGAGUUGGAUUUCCAGCUGAGACUGCCACAGUUCCCCUUCCCCACCCCCUCCCUUGCAGAAGUUGGAAGUACUGGGCCUCAUCGUGGCGCAAGGGUGAACACCCUGUUCAAACCACAAUACACAUGUCAUGCUGAAACUGGAGCAGACUGUGUGGAGAGGUUUGAGCUGGGUGGCCAACACAGUACUACACUCACCAGUGUGAAGGAUGAAUGGAGAGUCUAUAGGCAA
Molecule: long non-coding RNA, 689 nt
Filed under: Aplysia californica (California sea hare)
Lineage: Eukaryota; Metazoa; Mollusca; Gastropoda; Aplysiida; Aplysiidae
Description: uncharacterized LOC118478139
Source: RNAcentral